AAGUUCAGAUGUGAAAGACCCGGGGCGUCAACCUCGGAAUAGCAUUUGAAACUAGGCAGACUAGAGUACUGUAGAGGGGGGUAGGAAGUUUCAGGUGUAGCGGUGAAAUAGCGUAGAGAUCUGAAGGAAUACCGGUGGCGAAGGCGGCCCCCUCGGACAGAUACUGACACUCAGAUGCGAAAGCGUGGGGAGCAAACAGGAUUAGAUACCCUGGUAG
This 217-nucleotide ribosomal RNA is filed under the name uncultured bacterium. RNAcentral describes it as "partial 16S ribosomal RNA". It matches the Rfam family "Bacterial small subunit ribosomal RNA", at positions 585 to 793 of the family's 1533-position model. The record is from RNAcentral.